This 353-nucleotide ribosomal RNA is filed under the name uncultured bacterium. RNAcentral's name for it is "bacterial SSU rRNA". It matches the Rfam family "Bacterial small subunit ribosomal RNA", at positions 8 to 350 of the family's 1533-position model. The record is from RNAcentral.
AGAGUUUGANCCUGGCUCAGGAUGAACGCUAGCUACAGGCUUAACACAUGCAAGUCGAGGGGAAACGACAUCGAAAGCUUGCUUUUGAUGGGCGUCGACCGGCGCACGGGUGAGUAACGCGUAUCCAACCUGCCCAUCACUUGGGGAUAACCUUGCGAAAGUAAGACUAAUACCCAAUGAUAUCUCUAGAAGACAUCUGAAAGAGAUUAAAGAUUUAUCGGUGAUGGAUGGGGAUGCGUCUGAUUAGCUUGGUUGGCGGGGUAACGGCCACCAAGGCUACGAUCAGUAGGGGUUCUGAGAGGAAGGUCCCCACAUUGGAACUGAGACCACGGUCCAAACUCCUACGGGAGGCA